RNAcentral lists this long non-coding RNA (724 nucleotides) under Phoenix dactylifera (date palm). RNAcentral describes it as "long non-coding RNA (PDAC_LNC018950)". Lineage: Eukaryota; Viridiplantae; Streptophyta; Magnoliopsida; Arecales; Arecaceae. The record is from RNAcentral.
GGUUCAAAGAAGAGAGGAGGUGAGAUCCAAACAUGGUCAGGGGGGUUUAAUUUAUAUUGAGCUGAAUUAUUUUGAUUGCCCGAAUUGUCUUGGUUCCUGGCUGAUUUGGUUCCAGUUCUUGAUGAUUCAGCAUACCCUGGUUCACAUUGUGUGGGGAGUAUCCCCUAUUGCUGCAUCAUGUAAGUGUCAAUUAGCUACCAAGAGGUUAAACGCUCAGACAUUGUUCAUCAUCCUAGUUAGUUUCUUGUUAAACAUGGCAUAGUGCAUACAUUUAUAUAUCAAAUAGCCAAAUAAUGCUAACGCCCUGUGACUAGCAAAAGUUAGUCUUAUGUUAAUAAUACUUCAGCUAUGAUAUUACCAAUCCUAUCUUGUCAUUAUAAAUGUUGCUAUUGUCGAUGAGUAUUGGUGGUGAUCACCAUUGCUUGGAUUGUUUGGAUUGCUAAGAUGAUGAUACUGUCACUGAUGCUAGAAAACCAACUUCACCCAAUAUCAACAGUAUCAUAGUGGACAUUUUUUGCACAUAUAUCCCUGUAAAAUGCCUAUUUGUGUAUUUACCUCAAUAUUGCACAUGCGCGCGCGUGCACGCACAUGUAUUCUUGUCAUUUUUCUUUUCUUAAUGGUUAUACCCCCACAAUUAAAUCUGGCCAAUCAAUUUCACUAGCUCUUGUAAAAUGAUAAAAUGCUCAUUUGUGCUAAUAAUACUUUAUUUUCCUAGCAAUCAUCC